CCUCCAUGCUCUGUAAUCUUUGUCAUGGAAGUGGAUUCAAUCUUGGUGUCUGAUUUGAAUAAUUGUAAUCCAGUGCUUUGUGCAAACUCAGAAAAUUCAGCAAGUGCAUGAAAUGGAGUUCAUACAUCCAACCAAUCAGUGAGAAACAGUCCUGGGGAUAGCAAAAUUCUGAGAAGUUUGGCCUGAAUUCUUCAGCCAAUUCAAGGAAGGUAGAAGAUGUCGAUUUGAACCUUCAAAGAUUUACAAGGAUUCAAAAGAUUGUCCUCUGAGGCCAGUUCUGUUGCUAUGA
This is a long non-coding RNA of Pantherophis guttatus, 289 nucleotides long. RefSeq lists it as uncharacterized. Lineage: Eukaryota; Metazoa; Chordata; Lepidosauria; Squamata; Colubridae. The record is from RefSeq and is a predicted model, not a curated record.